UAGCCAUGUUGUGGACAUGAAUUUAUGAGAUCCUUAUAUCGCUUCCAACAUUGAAAGAAGGUCUCACCAUCUUUUUGCACAAAAUUCAUGAUUGCUUUCCUUUAAGGUA
Molecule: small nucleolar RNA, 109 nt
Organism: Magnolia sinica
Lineage: Eukaryota; Viridiplantae; Streptophyta; Magnoliopsida; Magnoliales; Magnoliaceae
Source: RefSeq, a predicted model, not a curated record